AAGCUGCUUUUACUGUCCAUCCAUGCAUAAAUAAGAGAGCUUGAGCUAGGUUUUGUGUGGUGUGUGUGGAGUUGCAAAUACACGAGAAUUUCUAAGGAAGAGAGAGCUGGAGAGAGGGAAAAGGGGAGAGUUGCUGGAAGUUAGGGGUGUGGGAGGAUUGGACAGAACACAAACCCCACCUUGUUUUAUAAAGGGGAAUGUGAUUGUUCUUUCCAACACCUCCCAUACCGUUGAUUUCCAGCUCUUCCUUCCUCUUCCCAACAUCGUAGUACUUUCCUACUUAAGUUUGCCAAGCAGAUCCGGAGGAUUUUUGGAUGAUUCAACCGAAUAAGAUACCAUCUCAUGCUCAUGGGGGUAUGGAGCACAUUAGAUGCAUGGAAAGUAGUAUGUCUUUUCCAACAGAUCUGCAUCAGUCAGUAUUUCACCACACAAGUUCAGCUGUGAGGUUAUUUUAAACAUGACAGAAUUAUAAUCAGCGACUGAUUUGAAAUCUUGGAUUCUUAAAUUACUCCACUCAUGCCGGGAUGUCACACUCCAUCUAUUUGAAUGUACCGCAGUUGGGAUCUUUUAGAUACUCAUUUUAUGGAAUGGUCUUAAUUACAUGGCUAUUAAAUUCGACUCCUUUACUCAAAAAAAAAAAAAAAAAAAAAAA
Molecule: microRNA precursor, 652 nt
Filed under: Dimocarpus longan
Lineage: Eukaryota; Viridiplantae; Streptophyta; Magnoliopsida; Sapindales; Sapindaceae
Description: precursor microRNA MIR482
Source: RNAcentral